GGCCCGGGGCCUCAUUCCGACGGCUCGGGAGGGCGGGUGCAAACCGCUUGGCUACCGGUUCGACUCCGGCCCGGGUCU
This 78-nucleotide transfer RNA is filed under the name Catenulispora sp. RNAcentral describes it as "tRNA-Cys". Lineage: Bacteria; Bacillati; Actinomycetota; Actinomycetes; Catenulisporales; Catenulisporaceae. The record is from RNAcentral.